Molecule: ribosomal RNA, 253 nt
Filed under: uncultured bacterium
Lineage: Bacteria
Description: partial 16S ribosomal RNA
Rfam family: Bacterial small subunit ribosomal RNA
Source: RNAcentral
UACAUAGGUCCCAAGCGUUGUUCGGAUUCACUGGGCGUAAAGGGUGCGUAGGUGGUCGGGUAAGUUUAAGGUGAAAGCUCCGGGCUCAACCCGGAAAUGGCCUUGAAUACUAUCCGGCUCGAGGGUUGGAGGGGGGACUGGAAUUCUCGGUGUAGCAGUGAAAUGCGUAGAUAUCGAGAGGAACACCAGUGGCGAAGGCGAGUCCCUGGACAACACCUGACACUGAGGCACGAAAGCUAGGGGAGCAAACGGG